UUUUUUUUCGUUCGGCCCAAAAUGUCACGGAUGUGUCUUUUUUUUGUAGUGCAUCAUUGUCAUAUUGCUCUUUGCAUGAUCAUGUAGUUGACAUCGUAUUUGUGGCAAGGCCACCUUCAUAAUUUUCAUUCAUGUCACUCUUGAUUCAUUGCAUAUCCCGAUACACCGCCGGAGGCAUUCACAUAGAGUCAUAUUUUGUUCUAAGUAUUGAGUUGUAAUUCUUGAGUUGUAAAUCAAUAAAAGUGUGAUGAUCUUCAUUAUUAGAGCAUUGUCCCAAGUGAGGAAAGGAUGAUGAAGACUAUGAUUCCCCCACAAGUUAGGAUGAGACUUCGGACUUUAUAAAAAAUAAAAGAGCCCAAAGAAGCCCAUGAGAAAAAAAAGAUGCCAAAGAAGCCCACCAAAAAUAAAUAAAAAUAAAAAAAUGAGAGAAAAAGAGAGAAGGGACAAUGCUACUAUCUCUUUUUCCACACUUGUGCUUCAAAGUAGCACCAUGAUCUUCAUGAUAGAGAGUCUCUUAUGUUGUCACUUUCAUAUACUAGUGGGAAAUUUUCAUUAUAGAACUUGGCUUGUAUAUUCCAAUGAUGGUCUUCCUCAAAACGCCCUAGGUCUUCGUGAGCAAGCAAGUUGGAUGAACACCCACUUAGUUUCUUUUGUUGAGAUUUCACAUAUUUAUAGCUCUAGUGCAUCCGUUGCAUGGCAAUCCCUACUCACUCACAUUGAUAUCUAUUAAUGGGCAUCUCCAUAGCCCGUUGAUACGCCUAGUUGAUGUGAGACUAUCUUCUCCCUUUUCGUCCUCACAACCACCACCAUAUACCACCUAUAGUGCUAUGUCCAUGGCUUGCGCUCAUGUAUUGCGUAAGAGUUGAAAAAGCUGAAUCGCGUUAAAAAGAAUGAACCAAUUGCUUGGCUGAAACCGGGGUUGUGCAUGAUGGAAGUAUUUUGUGUGAUAAAGAUGAACCAUGGCCUAACUAUAUGAGUUUCUAGGGAUAAGCUUUCUUUUGCUAUGUUGUUUUGAUAGGACAUGAUUAUUUGCUACUAUGCUUUGAAGUAUUACUAUUUUUAUGUUUUAUAAGUUUUUAUCUUGAAUCAUUUGCAUCUAAAUAAUCAUGCCACAAUAAAGAGAAAUACAUUGAGAAUUAUGCUAGGUAGCAUUCCACAUCAAAAAUUCUGUUUUUAUCACCUACCUACUCGAGGACGAGCAGGAAUUAAGCUUGGGGAUGCUUGAUAAGUCUCCAAUGUAUCUAUAAUUUUUGAUUGUUUCAUGCUAUUAUAUUACCUAUUUUGGAUGUUUAUGGGCUUUACUUUACACUUUUAUAUCAUUUUUGGGACUAACCUAUUAACCGGAGGCCCAGCCCGAAUUGCUAUUUUUUUGCCUAUUUCAGUAUAUCGAAGGAAAGGAAUAUCAAACGGAGUCAAAAUGGAAUGAAACCUUCAGGAGCGAUCUUUUUGGAACAAACGCAAUCCAGGAGACUUUGAGUGGACGUCAAGAAGCAUCCGAGGCGGCCAUGAGGGUGGCCGGCGCGCCUAGUAAGGGUGGGCGCGCCCCCUGCCUCAUGGGCCCCUCGUGGCUCCCCUAACCGACUUCCUUCGCAUAUAUAUNNNNNNNNNNNNNNNNNNNNNNNNNNNNNNNNNNNNNNNNNNNNNNNNNNNNNNNNNNNNNNNNNNNNNNNNNNNNNNNNNNNNNNNNNNNNNNNNNNNNNNNNNNNNNNNNNNNNNNNNNNNNNNNNNNNNNNNNNNNNNNNNNNNNNNNNNNNNNNNNNNNNNNNNNNNNNNNNNNNNNNNNNNNNNNNNNNNNNNNNNNNNNNNNNNNNNNNNNNNNNNNNNNNNNNNNNNNNNNNNNNNNNNNNNNNNNNNNNNUACCCCGAAAACAUCCAGGAGCACCACGAAAACCUAAUUCCACCGCCGCAACCUUCUAUAUCAGUGAGAUCCCAUCUUGGAGCCUUCGUCGGUGCUCCGUUGGAGGGGGAAUCCAUGACGAAGGGCCUCUCCAUCACCACCAAGGCCUCUCUGAUGAGUUGUGAGUAGUUUACCACAGACCUUCGGGUCCAUAGUUAUUAGCUAGAUGGCCCCUUCUCUCUCUUUGAUUCUCCAUACAAAGUUCUCCUUACUCUUCUUGGAGAUCUAUUUGAUGUAACUCUUUUUGCGGUGUGUUUGUUGAGAUCCGAUGAACUGUGGGUUUAUGAUCAAGUUUAUCUAUGAGAAAUAUUUGAAUCUCCUCUGAAUUCUUUUAUGUAUGAUUGGUUAUCUUUGCAAGUCUCUUCGAAUUAUCAGUUUGGUUUGGCCUACUCGAUUGAUCUUUCUUGCCAUGGGAGAAGUGCUUAGCUUUGGGUUCAAUCUUGCGGUGUUCGAUCCUAGUGACAGAAAGGGAAACGACACGCAUUGUAUUGUUGCCAUUGAGGAUAAAAAGAUGGGGUUUAUAUCCUAUUGCAUGACUUUAUCCCUCUACAUCAUGUCAUCUUGCUUAAUGCAUUACUCUGUUCUUAUGAACUUAAUACUCUAGAUGAAGGCAGGAGUCGGUCGAUGUGUGGAGUAAUAGUAGUAGAUGCAGGCAAGAGUCGGUCUACUUGUUGCGGACGUGAUGCCUAUAUACAUGAUCAUGCCUAGAUAAUCUCAUAACUAUGCGCUUUUCUAUCAAUUGCUCGACAGUAAUUUGUUCACCCACCGUAAUAAUUAUGCUAUCUUGAGAGAAGCCACUAGUGAAACCUAUGGCCCCCGGGUCUAUCUUUUAUCAUACAAGUUUUCCAUCUACUUUUAUUUGCAUCUUUUACUUUCCAAUCUAUAUCUUAAAAAUACCAAAAAUAUUUACCUUAUCAUAUUAUCUCUAUCAGAUCCCACUCUCGCAAGUUUGUGUGAAGGGAUUGACAACCCCUUUAUCGCGUUGGUUGCGAGGUUCUUGUUUGUUUGUGUAGGUGCGUGGGACUUUUGAGGAGCCUCCUACUGGAUUGAUACCUUGGUUCUCAAAAACUGAGGGAAAUACUUAUGCUACUGUGCUGCAUCACCCUUUCCUCUUCAAGGAAAACUAACGCAAGCUCAAGACGUAGCAUGAGGUCUCAUCCUCUUUCCCACGUCCACAUCGAUCAAUCUAUACCUCUCUAUAUAGGAUUACAGGGUUGUUUGGUUUGAGACGAAGUUUGCCAAAGCUUGCCACACCUAAGGUUAGGCAAAUUUGACCAACUUAGGUGUGUGUUUGGUUCAAGCCACAUCUUAGGCAAGCCACACUAUGGUCCCACAUCACAUACACACAACAAGUGUGGCAAGAUUCCCUUAGGCUUGCCAACUUGGGGUCAUUUUGAAGAACUAACCUUGGGCAAGUUUGGCAACAUUGUAUGGCAAAGUGUCGAACUCCUAAGCCUAGAACCGAACAACCCCUAAAUAUAUAGCUAAUACACCCACAUUAAUUAUGUAUCUAACGUCCCCCUCUCAUCAUCCAUGCCUUCCGCUUCAUCUCUCAGACACGCGCACAAUGGCAAAGACAGGGGGCAGCAAGGGCCCUGUCCCCCCCCCCCCUAACAUCACUAUAUAUCAAGGCUAAUAUAAAUGUGAUCAUUAGACAAUUGCUGGUAAAAAUGGUUUAAGUNNNNNNNNNNNNNNNNNNNNNNNNNNNNNNNNNNNNNNNNNNNNNNNNNNNNNNNNNNNNNNNNNNNNNNNNNNNNNNNNNNNNNNNNNNNNNNNNNNNNNNNNNNNNNNNNNNNNNNNNNNNNNNNNNNNNNNNNNNNNNNNNNNNNNNNNNNNNNNNNNNNNNNNNNNNNNNNNNNNNNNNNNNNNNNNNNNNNNNNNNNNNNNNNNNNNNNNNNNNNNNNNNNNNNNNNNNNNNNNNNNNNNNNNNNNNNNNNNNNNNNNNNNNNNNNNNNNNNNNNNNNNNNNNNNNNNNNNNNNNNNNNNNNNNNNNNNNNNNNNNNNNNNNNNNNNNNNNNNNNNNNNNNNNNNNNNNNNNNNNNNNNNNNNNNNNNNNNNNNNNNNNNNNNNNNNNNNNNNNNNNNNNNNNNNNNNNNNNNNNNNNNNNNNNNNNNNNNNNNNNNNNNNNNNNNNNNNNNNNNNNNNNNNNNNNNNNNNNNNNNNNNNNNNNNNNNNNNNNNNNNNNNNNNNNNNNNNNNNNNNNNNNNNNNNNNNNNNNNNNNNNNNNNNNNNNNNACAAUCUAGCAUACUCCAUGGUUGAACUUAAGCAUAAUGCACAAAACUAAAAACAAUAGUGGUUCUCCUUUGUUCUAGAAUCUUCCGCAUCAUAAUUGCCCAAACUUUUUUUAUAGUUGAAUUGUCAUUAUUUGUUUUUACUUUAUGCUUUACAACGCACAAUUCCAUGAAUCAUAAAAUAUAUUAAGGGCUUCUUUGAUUAAAAGGAUUCUCAAAGGAAUUUUGGAGGAUUCUAAUCCUUAGGAAUUUUUCCUAUUUUGGUUGUUUGAUUCGUAGGAUUGUAAACCAUAGGAAUUUUUCCAUAUGAUUCAUUUGCAUGAUUUCAUAGGAAACAUCCCAUCCACUGAAACCUCUUUGAAAGAAUUCUAUGUUCUUUCUAUGCACAAUCAAACACUCAUACAAUCCUAUAGGAUUCAAGACGACAUUCCACUAUAAUCCCAUGUUUUUCCUAUUCCCGAGUUUUGGAAAUCCUACGAAUCCAAGAGGCCCUAGAUUUUUUAUCAAAACUAAUUGAUUUUGAAUGAGAUGAACUAUAAGAAUUAAACGAAGGUCUACAUUAGGCAUAUAUGACUCAGAUCUUAUAUGCUAUAGUGUGGUAUUUAUUCAUAAUUUGGUUGCAAAAUCCGAUGCGUGCAAUGCACGUGUACCUUACUAGUACUUUGAGUAUGUGCAAAACACGUAAAUUAUAAUUCCAAUGGCAUGCUACACAGUGUCUCUCUUACAGCUCAUGAAGCCACGUGGCACAUGUGGAGGCAUUGUCGUGACCUCCUUAUGUGGAUUGAUCACAGUGAUGUGCUACUGGUUCCAGAAGAAUGUACUCGUCCUCCCUGAGCCAUACUGUCAGUACAUGCAUGAAGCGAAGAUGUGCACGCAUGCCACGCACGCACUCAUUCCCUCGCACGCCCACGCGGGUACACGGGAGGACGCAAUUUUGUACCAAGAUCCACCCCAUGUGAUAAUUUUUUUUUGAAAGUCCCCAUGUGAUAAUUUGACGUGUGUAAAGUCAUUCACUUCAUUGAUGGUCAAUUAAUACAGCGAAUGCAAAUUGAGUGGAAGUGAGGGCGGAAGAAAGAAAUUACUACUCCACUCCGCAUGCGAGUAGUUAAAUCAUGGGUUGCUAGUAGUACUUCCAUUGGUCUCCUUCAUAUUUUGUGCCAAUUUUUGACAGUAACAUAAUAUUUAUGCAUUUGAGCAGCGUAGUCUACUUGAAAUUUAUGUUCCACUAAACUCAUCGGGAGCCGUUUCAGGCCUCGAAACCAAAACCAUCAAUUAAUCUUUACCUUGUUCCCAUCACAUUCGAAAGCCUGCUCACACCUACUAGUACAUACCAAACCUGAACCUGUUCCCACUAUGCAGGUAUUAGUACUAGUGCUAGUACUUAGGUUAUAAAAAGGGGAACUACCUAACCGAAAAUUACUCUACCUUUCCUCCUCAUAAGUGCUUCUUCUUUGUCCGUCCUUGCCAUGGCCAGUGAGCAGAGCUCUAGGUCGAGAACUACUCGUAACAAGGGAGCGGUAACCAAGGCUGUGGAAAAAAAAGAGGGCUCGCCGCCACGCAGAGACCUCGAAAGAUCUCACGGGCAGGCGUUGGCUCCUAGGAGCGCCCUAGCCGCGGAGGAGAACAUGCCGAGCCGGCGGCGCUGGAGUCGUUAUCCCUCGAUGGCAUGCCCGAUCAGCUCAAUAAGCACCUCAAUAAGCAGAAGGAAUUCAUCCAUGGCUUGGUGGAUCUGUUGAAGGAGAGCCUUGACGACAUGCCCGCUGAGCUCAAUAAGCAGGGGGAGUUGACCUCCGGCUUGGUGAUGCUGCUAAAGAAGAGCAUUGCCUUGGAGAAGAAGGCGACCGGCAAAAUCCUGCAACUUCAGGAGGACAAGGCGAAGCUCUGCCACGAGAUUGACCUAUUGAAGGAGAAGAACGCCAGCUGGGAGAAGCUGCAUUAGAAUAGUAGUUCCUCGAUAAAGAUGUUGUAGGCCCUCAUCAUGGAACAGAAGGAGGAGUUGGCGAAGCUCCGCAUCAAGCACCCGGCCUCUGUCAAGGUACGUAAUGCGGUCGUGGAACAGAUGAUGAAGGCUUGCGUCGAGAAAUCCCGCGUCAUGGACAGAAUGAAGAAGAUGGCGGAGGAGACGCGCAAGGAGAUGGAGGUCGUGGAGGCGAUGAAGAAGCAGUUACGACUCCGCGGCGAAUUAGAUCAUUUGGGGUGAUAAUCUUCCUUCUUCUUUUGCUCUUGUGUUUCAUCUUUUGCUUCGGGUGCUUCGCCGCACAUGUCACGUUCUCUGAGGCAUGAAUAGGACAAUGCUAACAACGAGAUGACUAGCAAAUUAGAUCAUUUUUAACGCCAUAUGGAAAUGGGCUGCCAUGUUUCGUGCUCCUCCGUCGUAGUACUAGUCCAGUGGAAAACUUGAGUAUACCGCACGGUUCUUUGCUCCAUCUCAGGUCGUCGGCACAUUUAUACGAGUAGUCAAAUCACAAGGCCCCGCCUUCCAGCAGUAAUGAGACGUCAAAUCACAAAGGCCCUCGCCUCUCGUGAAACCGACCAAGCUAGACUGCCCCGCCCUCUAGCCUUUUAAAAAACGUAUACUUUUGUACAGUAGUAGUAUUGAUGGAUUGCGUCAUGGAGCAAAACUUGAAAUUAAAAAAAGGUGGUACAUAUAGAGAGCGCUCGUCGCCAAAUUAUGCAUAUAGUACUAUUAAAAAAGCUAGUCAUAAUAAUGGUGUCCAGCACAACCCACCCCUCAAGUAAAACUAAGCACCCUGGAAUUCUUUGACAAAACUUAGCACCCUGAAAUUCUUUGACAACUAAACUGUUGGCUAUAUGAUGUUGGCCAUAUAUAUUGUACAUAUAUAAUGUGAAGAAACGAGUGGUAGUACUAUACCAACUAAAAGAUGAAAUGUAAGAAAUACUAGUAUGUACGUACUGAAGAGUUAAAGUAAUGAGAAGAAACAUAACAUAGUUUUGCUGGGGGCUCAGCACAACACACCCCUCAAAUUAAACUAAGCACACCUGAAAUUAAACUAUGCAACUAAUCCAGUAGACACUACAUUAGAACCACCAUGAGCAACAACACUGCCACCUUACUCGGAGUCCUUUUCCACGUCCUCUACUUCGUCCUUGUCCCUCUUCCUCUUGGUCGAUACUUCUUUGCUUGAACCGCACACUUGGCUCUUGCUCUUCAUCCAACCCUUGUAGAUAUUAAAACAAAGGUAGCCAUCCAUUGCAGCAUACUGGAUGUGGUCUAUAUCUAGUACAUUCCGCUGCCAUGCAUGACGAGGAAACAUGUAAUGAGGUUUCUCUACUUUACCGUACGAAGGAUGAACCAUGGCUCCAGCCAGGGUCAGCAUUGAAGGCUGAACACUGGAGGGCAGCAGCCGAUUCUUCUGGAGGUCAAAGGGGUUGCCUACAAUGAGGCCUAUCCGACCCAGGACUCAUUCAUCGUUCGUAAAGUCUAUAGUAACGAAUUUGACUAGGUCGCUCUUGAGGAAGUUCUUAAAAUCCUGGCAUUCAAUGUCGGCAUGGCAUAUGUGGUAGAUCAAGCAUAAGUCAUGCACGCAAACCUGGAUCAUGGCGGGAUUCUUCCUCUCUUCCUCCUUUAGAUCCUUCUCUCGUCCCAGGACUGUGGUGUAGUCAACAUCUAGCCCAGCGGCCCACUCAUCAUUUGAGUUUUCAAACAUGCGUCUGAAGCGAGCAAGGCAUCAUUUCAUCGUCGCAGAAGAACGAGUGAAGAUGACAUCGAACUCAUCGCCGGUGAUGGUUCUAACCUUGUACUCACCGCCGAUCAUGAAGAUUUGGGACGCCAUGGGUUUGGGAGGAGGGUUAGGAUUAGUGGAACUAUCGUAAUGUGAAAGGACGGGACGACUAGGAGCGAACCACCGUAAUAUAAAGGACGUGCGGGGACGAGUAGGAGUGAACUGCUAGCGUGCAAACGGCAUGGUAGUGGCUUUCCAUUCUCCCAUGAUACGGGCUUCCGAGAGCCCUUGGAUCUGAGAUCGAAUGGUUGCAUGGCGUGAUUCUAGACCUAUGGGUGAAUAUCCUAUCCUGGAGGGUUAUUCUGCAAAUUUUCAGCAACUUAGCAUGCGAUCGUUCGAUCUCAGAUCCAAGGGUUGUCAGCAGCCCGUAUCUUGGUCGCGCCUACCACGACCGUCGCGUCGCUCGCGCGGUCGCGCCCUUGGAGAUAUAACAUGCUGCGUUAGGCUAUCUGAUGUUGGCAUGUCAUGCAUAGUCAUCACUUAGUCACUCAUACUAUAACAAGGUUAGCUAUAAGAUUGUCUAUAAGUGUAUUUUUUUACUUCUCUCUACCUCUCUCUUCGUAGUAUUUAUUGCAUUUGCCAAGGAGUGACCUCUUCCAAUGAAAUGGUGCUUAGAUGAUGUGCUAAGGGCAUUAAAUGGCUUAGCAAUCAAGUCCCCAAUGCAUAGGUGCUUAGUUUUUUGUUGCUAAGUUUGCUUCAUUUAAUUAGCUAUAAACUCAAAAUUGUAUUUUCACCUAGGUACACGCGCUUAGCACCGUUUCUUCCUUGGGUCACCAAACUAGUCUCUCUCUUCUUAAUUAACUUGCCACAUCAGACUUUAUGCCUAUGUGGCAAGCUUAGCACAUGUAGGAGCAAGUAAGUGCAAUAGUGGGCUAUAAGCCCGCUUUACAUGACAUUUUUGCAUAUGUGGAGGAAAGAUGCAAGGAAAAAGUGGAGAAGUGGGCUCUCAUGCAAGAGCCAGCCUCUACAUAUUGGAGCGUUGAGAGAGGCACCUGUAUGAAGGUGGUCAGGAAUCAGAAGACUCACAUCGAUUAUAGCACCGCGGUUAAAAUGAUAAUGGCAAGUCAAAUCACAGGGCCCCACCUGUCUAGCAGUAACUCAUUGUCAAAUCACACAACCCUACAUUUGCAGCAGCCUACUUCCUCAUCUUCUCGCGUCUCUGUCAAACCGACUAGGCAGAAUUGCCCCGCCUACUGUGCAGGAAAAGCCCCGCCCUCGACAUUUAAAUAGUACAGUGGCCCUGUUUGGAUACUCUAACUUAGUUAGAGGUUAGGGUUAGAUUCUAACCCUGAACUAACUCUAACCGAAAAGGUGUUUGGAUGGCAGGAUUAGAUUGACAAUAAAUGUUCUUUCUCAAUCAAUUGGCCAAGAGCUGCGCUGUCCGGGGCAGACAAGGACGCGCCUGGCAAGGAGCUGCGCUGGCCUCUCGCGCAGCCCGCCGGCCGAAUCCGCCAGCCCUGCACAAGGAACCGCGCUGGGACGGGCCACGCAAGGAGCCGUGACUGCUUAUCAGCGGGCGGACGGUCGUGGGGAGACGAUGGGGUUGGAACGGGGGGAUAGGGCAAGGCUGCUGCGGGAAGAGCGAGAGAAAAAUGUGUUUUUAGUGGUUCCGGGAAAAACUAACCCAAAUAAGCACCUCUUGGAUGGGUUAGUUUUUUGGGAGGGUUAGAUGCAUCUAACUCAAACUAACCCUCCCUGUUUGGAUAUUUUUGGGUUAGUUGAGUCCAAACUAACCCAAACUAACUCUAACCUAUGUAUCCAAACAGGGCCAGUAUACUAAUUUUGUAUCCAUGGAUUGCGCCAUGGAGCAAAGCCUCAAGAAAACGGCGGUACACAUGUACGGAGUAUACAUCACACCCAUCGCAUUCACGUCACACCCCAGAUGGUCGGUCGGUCUAGCACACUGCUCUCCGAAUGGAACGCACGUCAUAUUGCGUUUGCACACACAUGUGGGACCGCAAUUGAGAAGCGACCAUAGGCACACUCCCCGGCCCCGCAAGUAGGGUGGAGAGAGACGAGCCAUAGUACUAGAGAAGUGUUGUACUAUGUUGGUGCCUGGACGAUCCCUGCAAGACACGAAAGAUUAGUUUGUCCAUGCAUGUGACCAGACUCCAGCAGACACACCCGGAUUGGCUAUCGUCCCCAUAUCAUGCAGGCUGUGUUGUAUAGGGCUGUAGUUCUGGUGAGAAAUCUAAAAAAAGGUUUCUUGUCAUCUCGCAAAAUUAGGUGUCAUGUGCUUCGGAUCACUGCGAGUGUUAAACAGCGACAACUGGGUUGCUAGUCAUUGGGGGCACAUGCACGAAGACUACUCGGCUGCCAUCUAGGUCAAGCCGGCUAUGUUAAUUAAGAUAUCUAUCGACGGACCCCUUUUCUACGAGUUUAUCUUUAAUUUGAGCUUUGAUCCUCGUCUAGUUUGUCCGUCGAGAUUCAUGUUGUCUCCUUUGGGCAGUGAGGUUAUGAUUUCUUGUCAUGUGGCAUUUUUUCGUGUUAUAUGUUAUAAUCCAGUGGUUCAGAUCAAAAUGACGACAACUGCGCCUCCGGGCCAUGUGCAUGAAUACUUCUCGACAGUCAUUGACGAGGUCAAGCCGGCUCCAGUAGACAAAAGAAAACUAGUACUCCACUAUAUAGGCAGGAUCCUCCGCGCUUGCUUGCUAGUGUUGCUCUCCUCACACUGUCUCGUCCUCUCCAAAUCUAAACACGAUAGCGGUGGCCACACACACUCUCUCUCUCUCUCUGCUCACCGCUGGUCACGGAUCCAGCCGGAUCCUCUCCGUCGGGGAAGGUGAGAAGGUGCAGUGUUCACGCGGUCGUCCUCGGCAACGGCUCUUACCCACUGCCGGUGCGUCCCAAUCAUCGUGCCUUGCUGUUCUCUCCCAAGCACCGCUAGCGAGGGUGGGCCUCUGACCCCUUCUUCCUUGUUGCCGUAGUGUGGGCAGAUCCGGUCUCCCGCGGCCCACCUAGCAACAUCCCGGUGACCCUCAGGUACAACUUCCUUCGAAACUGGCCUUGCUCUACUUCCCGAGCUCCUGACAUUGCUGCAUUUGUACCUUUUACUAUUUCUCAGGCCCCCUCGUAGAUAGGAUUGAUCGGCUGUUUGAGAACCACCUAAACUUUUAUGGUUAAGAGGUAAAACUAGUUCAUGCACUCGAAUCUAGUACUACUUGGUUCAAACAAGGAAGAAAGGGGGUGGGGGUGGGGGAAGAUUUGUUACCAGAAUCUAGAACUUGGUCGAAAGAGCAAAUAAUGGGGGCAAAAAGUAGCAGAGACUGGCUAUCCAACUGGUCUCUAGGUCUAAUAGGGAAAUAAAGGGAAACGUAAUACAAACUCAAUUCUGGUUGAAAAAGGAAAGAAAGUGGGGACUGGGGGACAAGUCAACAGAGUAAGUACAGCACUAGAUUUGCUAGCCUCACACAGUAUAAGGUGGCUAUACCGAACAAAAAUGGGACCAACCCAGAUAUCCUGUUCUAAUGUUUGUUGCCCCGAGCCACUCUUAUGUAAUGCCACUGGUAAAAUGUAGCAGUCGCACUGUUAAAAGUAAGGACACGUUAAACCAAUGUUGUUUUCAAUGUAAUGCCUCCAGUAAUAUGAAUCAAUGGCACUUUUUACAUGUCCUGCUAAAUUUCCCAUUAAGAUAAGUUGCUUAUUUUCGUUAGAAAUGCAACUGUCUUGGUCCGCCUACUCUCCCGUGCCCAAAUACCGACUCUGUAGCAGCUGUUAAUGUAAUGUUGCUGGUAAAAUGAAGCAAUGGCACCAUUAAAGUAAUGUCGUAUUUAACGGUUGUCAUAGUUAAUCCUAAUGCCCACACUAAUAUCUAGCAAUGUUGCUGCUUUAGAAAUUGCUACUAUCCUUCUAGGAUUGCCAUUCAGAUAAGGAACAUGCUUCUUUUCAUUUGAUACAUGUUUCAUCACUUGUUAGUCACCCUCCUUUCCACCUUUUUGUGCAAAUAGAGAUAUACAUUUCACGCUCGAUCUUAGUUGAACUGCCCAAAUGAUAUCCAAAUUAUAUUUGAACAUUCCAGGAGCUUCACAACCAACCUUGAUGUUGCUCAAUUUUAUUGCAACUAAUGAAGAAGAAGCUCUGUGGGUUUCAUUUUCUGAUGGAAAUGGAACCGGGGCUGGAGCCCUUUUCUUAAAAAAAUGAAGAAAAAGCUGCUAGCUCACGGGACAUUGCUUCAUUUUAGGUGAAUUGCACCAAAAGGUCCCAUGAAUUGAAUCAUCCAUGUUGGUGUUUGAAAGAGUCAGCUUCAUCAUCCCAGUCUAAGCACCCCCGGCCUCCAUCCUUGCGAUGCACGGUACACCUCGUUUGCCACCUACUCGACCCUAGUGUCACUGAUAAAAUGAAGUAAUAGUACAGUUAAAUAGAGCGAGUGUCCUCUAUAUCUUUUCAUUUCCAAUGUAGAUAAAGAAAGUGCUUCUCUUUGUUAAUGUAUGUUUCAUCAACUAGGCCCAUUGUUAAUGUUUAAGCGUUUCUGCAAACUGGGGUGCUUAAUUUUAGUUGAUCUGCACAAAAAUAGAGAUUUGAAUGUCUCAAGGCGCCUCCUUGUACUACCACUCUACACUGAUGUUCAUCACUGGCAGAAGGUGUAUCUGGGAGACAUGGGAUGAUUUCCAGUAUGAGGCGUAUCGUAUGAGGCGUCGCAGGGCCCAUCUCUCCCUCGCGGCAUGGCAUAGUAUGAUACUAUCACAAUAUUUUCUUCUAUUUAUUUUGUGUGUUUCAUCAACUAGUGCCACUAUAAUGUAAUCACGCUUUUUCAUUAUCUGUGCAAACAGGGUUAUUCAGCUGCAUUUUGGUGGUGCUGCAUAAACGUGCGUAUGGAACCGGCAUAUAUGCAGAGUGCAAGGUGUGCCAAGUAAAAAUUACAGACACCAACCAUGCUCCAUGCACGCAUUGGCAUCCACCAGCACCAAUGGGAUGUGUGGUGCUCUCUGUGGACGGAUCUUUCUCGGCAGCGAAUCCUCUAACCAAAUACUAGUAGCUUAUAUUGGCAGUUUUCUAGGGAGUACUCUUUUUUGAAAGAAGCACCGAUCUAUUUUUCUUUAUUUGUACAUUGUGUCACAACUUUGACCCAAAGGUCCAGAGCUAUUUUAGGGUGAUUGGCGUAGUACUCGGAGUCUGAUUGUAAGCAUGAUUUUCAUUAGCUGUCACACUGAUUGUAAGCAUGAGCAGGUGGAAGAUUAGGUUAGUGCGAAGCUUACCUUAAACCCUACCGCUGCCGUUGAAAUGAGGCGAGCGUCGAGGGAACCGUGGAGAACGGAGGGGAAGCAACAUUGUGCCAUCCGGCCUCCUCUUGCGGUGGAAGAACGAAUACUCCUAUGGCUCUAGCUGGCUCUGCACCCUCACGAAUGGCACACCAUACUCGAUCAAUUCGUUAUCCUCUAGGUGCUUGACCUUCGACCUGUACGCCCACCACCUCUGCCUGACUGUCGCCUCGGGCGAAUCUGUCUUCUCCAUCUCCCAGAGGAGAUACUCAAUGAACUCGGAGGACUAUGGUGUGACUGCCACCGAGGAGUACAUGUACAUCGUCGCCCUCAUCGCCGCCGUCUCGCUCUUUUGCAUACAUUGCCACAUGGCCCUCAUCGUCCUCGAAAUAUCCCACUCAUUGUCAAACCAAGUAAGGAUCUCCUUCAACCUGGCUAACUUUGCCUGGUCGCCGCCGGCGAUCUGCCUGAUUCGCUGCUGCAUCCUCUCCAUAGAUGUCCUUCUGAAUGGUCCGGUGCUAGCUUUGGAAGAUGGGAGGAGAGACGGUGGUCUUGCAGUAGAGAAGAGGGAGAGGCGAGAUGGUGGUUUUGGAAUGGAGAUGAUGGAGAGGAGAGGUGGUGGUUUUGCAAUGGAGAAGAGGGAGAGGCGAGAUGGUGGUUUUGGAAUGGAGAUGAUGGAGAGGAGAGGAGGUGGUUUUGCAAUGGAGAAGAGGGAGAGGAGCAUGCGGCAGCGAUUUAGGAUUGGACGAGAGGGCCGGCGCGCUGUGACUGGAUCAAACUCAAAAUCAAUUUACCCUUCAAUUAAGAAAGAGACCCCACAUUAAUUAGUCUCCCUUUUAUUUUGGGUCAUAAUUGACCUUGAUUUUUGCAAAUAAAAUAUAUGUUAUACGUUGCAAAAAUAAUAUAAUUUGAAAGUACAUUCAGAUACGAACCAAACGAUACAAUUUUUGGUGACAUGCAUUCACAUUUUGCUUGUCAAAUACAGUACGUGGUCAAACUUUGACCAAAAAUUCGCAAAACAAAAAAAUACUUCCAAGACCAGCGCUGCUCUUCCGCUCUUCUCCUCUUAAACUACCACCGCUCCUAUCAUGUUCCAAUCUAAAUCCAGCGCCGCUCCUCUCCUCUUCCAUUUCAAAACAAAUGCCCCUCCUCUCUUGUUCCAAUCCAAAACCAGCGUCGCUCCUCUCCCAUUCUAAUCCAAAACCAGCACUGCUCCUCUCCUCUUCCAUUCAAAAACCACCGCUGGCGAGUGAAGGUGUUGUGGAGAAGUAGAUCGAUGGAGGAGUACAACCAAUAUGUGAGGACCGCAGACGGCGACCCUGUGAAGCUAGCUAGGAUGUUCGAGAUACAGUCUUGGUUUGAUAACAAGGACCAACUAGCGGCGAUGGAGACAUCCAUGGACAAAUAUCUACAACAGAGCGAAAAGGCGGCGAUACUCCCGGAGGGAGUCGCGCGGGAGUACAUAGAGCUGCUGCUCUGGAGCCAUGGAGCAAACAGAUUCACCGAAUCCGAUCGUGAGGGAGCGGUGGUGGGAGUAUCGAUCCCAGAUGGAGCAUCCACCAGAGAUUGAAGGAUCGAGCAUAUAUAGGGUGCCGUUUGGGAGGGUGUCGUGCCAGAGCGAGCUGGUGGAGUCUUUGUCGACCGAACCCAACUGCAAGAGGAGAAAAUCAGUUGGCCCGACGAUGCUUCCCCACCAUCCUCUCCCUCGCCGUUCACAUUGUCUCACGGGGCGGUUGUCUGCCACCGAGGAAUAGGAGGGGACUGCCCCCCUAUCCCAAUAGUCGGGCAGGUUGUGAAUUGUCAGGAGGAGCUUAGGGUUGUCAGUAUUUGCAGGUUGUGAAUUGUGUUUUGUGUUGUGUAUUUUAAGAGUACUUUCAUAUAUGAAUGUCUUUUGAAUUUGAGAUUUGCAGUAUUGAGCAUAUGAAGUAUUUUAUGAAUUCCAGAGAUCUAUUUUUAGCACUUAAAAAAUGUAGUUUCAUAGGAGUAUAAAAGUGCAGACAAUGUGAUUCUCAGAGAAGAAACUGCAAGUUUCAGUUUCAGAUAAGAAACUGCAAGUUCAGUUUCAGAUAAGAAACUGCAACUUUCAGAGGCAAAGCAUUUAUAUUAACACGGCCUUUUCAAACAGGGUUAACAUCAUGUUGGAAGUUUUAUUCAUGGUCAAAAAUGGAACUACCAGGCAGUUAACAUCAUGUUGAUCAACAUUCAUGCAUAGCACAUCUUCAUAUGAUGCACAGUCAAAAAGAUAUGUUGUUUUCAAAAUGCCCACACAAUGUCGAGUGUGCUAAACACAGAGAAAACGAGGGACGAAGUUUUGGCAAGUGUUGGACGUGGUGUGUGUAGAUGACAAUGGGGACCCACAUGUCACUAAAGGUAGAGGCAAAAAAUUUGGAGAUAUUUUCCCUGCAUAGGUGGAAUCAAACCCGGGCGGAAUAGCUGUCGGGUAGUGUCACUUGGCCACUAGGCUAGUUCAGUAGUUUCGUUAAUAAUAAGGCACUUCCUCGGGUGGUCGGAUCCCCUCCUGCGCCUUUGUGCGCUCGCCGCGACGCCACUGUCUGCCAUUGUGAACAUGCUGAACAAACGAGAGGAAUCUGGAGAGGAUUGUACGUGGAGAGGCGGAUAGUUGGGACCCACCAGGUCUAUGGCCGUACGCAAGCAAGUGCCUCAUCGAAAAAAUACUUCCUCCUAAUGCUAUACUGACGUUGGGGCCCACGGGUUUGUCAACAUAGUUACAUUUUUUUAGGUGCUUCAACGUAGUUACUAUAGGAGAUAAAUUCACAACGAAGUUGGGGAGCUGGCAGGUAUCAUUUAUUAUCACUGGGGCAGCAAGUAUCAGCUGGGUUUUGGGAUGCCCCGUCUAGGCUUUCUUUUUUAACAUGCGCAGCCCACGACCUCAGAUGGGAGGUCCAUAGGCCUGUUUGUAUUUUCUUGAGGGCCAUCAUGUAUCGACCGGCCUAUGGACCUCCCAUCCAAGGUUUUAUUUUUCCUAAAACAUCGGCAGCCCAAUUUAUGUAUUUUUUUGAAGAAAACACAGAGGUCUGUUCUAUUUUUCUACAUAAGAAUAGGAACGUCUGGUCCAACUUAUGUUUCCCUUCUAGCUAUAUUAUAUAUAUUUAAAUUAUUUUAUAUGUUAUUAUAUAUUAUUUUUAUUGUCAUCAUAUAUUUAACAGAUACUUACAUAUGUAAGAAAACAAUAUCCCACCCCACAUCUUAUUACUUAUAAAAAUAAUUUCUUAACAAUAAAAAUCCUGGAUUGUUUUGUCAUGAAAGUCCUAGUGAUUGUGUACAAAAGCUUGGUAAGAUUUAAGGAUGAAUGUAAUAAUAAAUCAAAUAUAUAUAUAACAAAAUGCUCAGUCCCUGUUUAUUUUUUGAUAACAUUAUAAUUAGAAUCAGCCCAGCAAAAUCGUGUAUUUCGAGAAAGUGCAAAUGGCCUGUAAUAUUUUAGGAAAAAAAUAAAUGGGCCGCAUGGACGCUACAUUAUUUGUUCACCCAGCCCAGCUAAUGGACUGUAAUUCAAAAAAGAUCAAAUUGACUAUAAAUUCUACCCCGCAAAAAAAGACUGUAAAUUCUGAAAAAUGGGUUGAAUACGUGCCACAUUUUUGGAGGCUGAAAUGUGGGCCAAUAGGUUGAAGCCAAUGCAAGUCGUUGUCAACUUAGUCAACAAAUGAUUCUGACAUCGUUAGCCAUUGGAUUUAGAUCCAACGGCUGGCAUCCAUCUUCAAUCUCUCGUCUUCUUCCUCCGGCGCCGCCGGGACCACCUCCCGCCUCCUGCUGCUAGCAGCUCUACUUAGCACGCUUCGCUGUGAAGCACUACUCCACCGUUGGCCAGGCCAUCCCUCCACCCCUCCACACCUCCUGUUCUUCUCCACUGACUGCCGAACCACACCGCACCAGAACCAGUUAACCCUCGUACACCUCUUCGUCUGUGACUCUACUCCCGCGUCUUCCCAUCUCCGGCUCGUUGCUGUCCGAGGCCUCACCGUCUUCCACCACCUUGGAUGUGCUUGGCGCGGCGUGGUCAACAUGGUCAACGAAUGACACCAUCGGAAGUAGACUGUGUGUGGAGAGGCUGACAGCUGGGUCCACGGCCGCACACAAGGAAAUGCCUCCUUAUUACGUGCAAAAUAAUGAUUCCUCCAUCUGACAUCUGGGACCCACCAGAAGGGCCUCUAUAUUUCGCGAAAAAAACGUGCCCCCCGCUGACAGGUCGGACCCACUAGCUAUCUUCACACGCAAGGAAGUGCCUCCUUAUUACGCACAAAAAAAUUAAUACUCCCCCUACCAGCUGGAACCCAGCAUAGUGGGAGGCUGACUUGUGGGCCUACCAAGUUGACGGGGACAGAGGGCUUUGUCAACUUAGUCAAUAUGAACGAUUCUAGCUCUAGUUACAGUACGAUGUUCAUCCAACGGCCGUAGUGCUUCUUCAACCUCUGGUCUUCUUGCUCCAGCCUCCCAAACAAGCGCCGGUCGUCCCGCGUGCUCCUACCUCCCAUGGCCGGUUGUGAUGCCGUGGAGGCCUCACUGCCCCCUACUACUCCCAUCGCUGGCCAGGCUAUCCCUCUACUCACCCACACCCCCUGUUAUUCUGCGGCGAUGGCAGCCUCACAUCGCAGCCGAACUAGUGAACCCUCGUACUCCUCUUCGUGUGGGCUUCCACUGCCGCGUCUUCCCGGGCUCCACGUCGUCCCCUUCCUAGGCCUCGCCGUUGUCCACCGCCCUGGUGCUCUCGGCGCGACGUGGUCAACGUGGUUAAGGAACAACUUCCAUCGGAAGAGUACUAUACAUGGAGAGGCUGACAGCUGGGUCCACAGCGGUCGCAAGGAAGUGCCUCCUUAUUAAGCGCAAAAUAAUUAUUCCUCCACCUGAUAGCAGGGACCCACCGGACAGGCCACUGUAUUUCGUGAAAAAAAAUGUUUUGCCCCUGACUGCUGGGACCCACCAGCUCAUCUUUGCAUGCAAGGAAGUGCGUCCGGGCAAAAAAAAUGAUUCGCCCCCUGACUACUGGGACCCACCAUCUACAUCUUUGCAUGCAAGGAAGUGUGUGACAGUCGGGACCCACUGGUCGAAGCGUACGUAACAUUGUCAUUCUGGUCGCGAACGUGUAUGUACGUACUGCUCGAUGUAGAGGCACGCACGUGUCGUAGUAGAGGAUCACAUGUAGCAUGUACACGUAUGUACAUCGGCCAGUGUGCAAGAAAGAAAAUACGGCCACAUACGUACAUACGGGCGGGGUCUUGAACACCUACUCGUGCAUACGUACGGCCAGGGCUCGUGUAUAUGGCUGCGUCGGACUGGAGAAACAACGUCGUCGUCGUGUUCAUGGGGAGCCAACCGGCUGGGUCAGACGGAAUGCGUCGUCGUGUUCAUCGGGGGGGCUUGGACGGAAUAGCCGAUGGAAACGAGGCCUAGCAUGCCGCGGAAUGGAGGAAACGGGCUUGUGUUCGACCGGACACGUUCGAAACGGGAUCCUGUUCAUCAGGAGGGGUCUGCCGUACCGCAAAACGGAGGAAAUAGACUUGUAUUGGACCUCCUACGGUCGAAACGGGGUCCUGUUAAUCGGGAGAGGUGUGGCGUACCGCAAAACGGAGGAAACACACUUGUGUUGGAGCACUAUGGUCGAAAUGGGGGUCUUGUUCAUCGGGAGGGGUGUGGCGUACCGCAAAACAGGACUCCAUGGAUACUAUUCAUCUCCACCGUCGACCUCCUCCAGCCUCCACGGGCUACUGUUCAUCCACUGUCAACCUCCUCUAGCCUCCACCUGCGACUGUUCAUCCAUGGGAUCCUGUUCAUCCAGCCUCCACCACGCGCUACUCCACCGGCUACUGAUCAACCAGCCCUCUCCACGGGCUCCUAUUCAACCACCCCUCCACGGGCUACUGUUCAUCCACCCCUCCACCAUCUACUGUUCAUCCAGCCCUCCACGGGGUCCUCCUGUUCAUCCAGCCCUCCAUGGGGUCCUGUUCAUCCAGCCCCAACCGGCUCGAUCGAUCGGGGUCCUGCUCAUCCAGAGGCAACACCACGGGGUCCUGUUCAUCCAACCCCACCAGGAACUGUUCAUCCAAACCCCGCAGCAACGCUCACUGUUCAUCAAGGGAAGGAGGCGGCUGCAUGAUGAUACCAGGUUUUGUCACAAUUAUCGUCAUAGAAGUGUCAUAAGUAUGACAGAAAAAAAAUUGUUCGGCCCAAAAUGUCACGGAUGUGUCUUUUUUUUGUAGUGUUACUUGUCUAAUUUGUUUGACUUCACACUAUGAAGACUAUUAUCUGUUUAGCUUCGUACUAUCUACCUUUCUAAUCCUGUCUACCUAGUUGCUAUUAGUCUUCAUGCUUUCAUUAUAUUGUAUGUUAGACUUAUGCUUACCUAGUGUAGUUUUCAUUCCGCUGCUUACUAAUUAGGCUCAGUCACUUGUUUUUCUUCAAAGCCACCGUGUUUUGUAGACUUGCGUAAAAAUCGCCUAUUCACCCCCCCCCCUCUAGUCGAUAACUAGCACUUUCAAUUGGUAUCAAAGCAAGGUACUCCCUUGUUCUAUGUGAUUCGCUUUAACCACCUGGAGUUUUAGCUAUGUCGACUGCAGGGAUACUCAAGGUCUCCGUUGCAUGCCCUGUCUCCGAUGGCACUGACUACCCCUACUGGAAGAACAAGAUGCACAUGCAUCUUGAAGCCAUUGAUGUUGAUCUCUGGUAUGUCGUCAAGACUGGCGUUCCCAAAGUCGGUGAAGGCGUCACUGCUGCUGAUGUCAAGAGAUUUGCUCAAUUGGACUCAACCGCCAAGAACAUCAUCUGUGGUCAUUUGACCAAAGGGCAAUAUGGUCGUGUGAGUGCACUGGAAACUGCAAAGCUGGUCUGGGACUGGCUGUCCAAGGUCAAUGAAGGCCUCUCAGCUCAGAGAGACUCAAGAAUUGAUGUUCUUCGCAAUCUGUUCAACCACUUCAAGAGAAACGACAAUGAAAAUGUCUAGCUCACGUUCGAUCGCUUGACUAACAUCACCAACGGGUUGCGUGCUCUCGGCACCACUGAGAUCACCAAGCAUGAGAUUGUGAAGAAGAUUCUGAGAUCACUUGAUAGCUCGUUGGACACCUUAGCCCUGAUGAUUCAAGAACGUCCUGACUUCAAAGAUCUCGAUCCAUCUGACAUACUCGAGAGACUCAAUACACAUGAGUUCCAGCUAUCUGAGAAGCGUGAUAUCUAUGGUCCCAACUAUGGCCGAACCCGUGCUUUGAAGGCAAAGGUUGUUUCCUCAUCUGAAGAAGAAUUUGACUGUAGCUCUGGUGAUCCUAAAGAGCUUGGCAAAGAGCUUGCAAUGCUGGUGAGAAAGUUCCAAAAGUUCUCCAAGAAGAAUCAAUUCAGCAAGUCUUCAAGAUCUAGCUCCAAGAACGACAAGGCUUCAUCACGUGACUACAAGAGGAGAACUUGCCACAAAUGCAAGAAGACUGGCCACUACAUCUUUGAGUGUCCUCAGUGGGAUAAGGAAUCAAAGAAGAAGAAGAAGAGCAAGGAAUAUGAUUCUGAUGAUAAUAAGAAGAAGAAAUCUUCAAAAUCUUCCUCAAAGUCUUCAUCUCACAAGAAGACCUCAUCAAGCAAGGCUCAUGCAUUUAUUGGCAAGGAAAUGGAUUCAGAGGAGUCUACUUCUGAGGAGGCAGAGGUGGAGUCUCAGGAGGAGUCUGGUUUAGGCGUGGCAACCCUGGCUCUGGCAUCAGCGUUCGUCGCCAAGUCCAUCUUCAACACUGAAGACAAUGGUUGCAGCGUUGAAGCCAAAGUUGAUGAUGAUGACGACGACUCUGCUCCUACCUACUGCUUCAUGGCAUGUGGUGCCAAGGUAACUUCACACGAUGCCUAAUUUCAAACCUCUAGUGAAGAUGACUCUGAAUGUGAAUCCAAACCUAGCUAUAAGACACUUGCUAAAAUUGUAACUGAGUAACAAACUGCUAUGGAACAUAUUCAAAAGCUGCUAGACAAAAGUGAUGACAUGUUGGACGCAGAAAUGAAUCAAACUCAAUCCUUAAUCGAAGAUAUUAAAAGUCUUUGCAUUAAGUACGUAGAUCUUGAAAGUCGUCAUGAAACUCUCUCAGCCUCUCAUGAGAAGCUUUCCUACAAUUAUCUUCAAAGGAAGCAUGAUCUAGAGAAACUGAGAGCAUCUCAUGAAGAUCUUCAAAAGGAGAACGAUUCACUACUCGCCCAACAGAUCAGUACCGCUCCGGUAGAACUUGUUCCACCAUGCUUGAAGUGUCUUGAGCGUGAUAAUGUUGUCUCUGUUGCUGAAUGUUCUACUGCCUCUGAUGUUGCAAUAUCUUCAACUACUGAUGUGGGAACUAACCCCUCUACUGAGGAUGCCACUACUAUUGCUGAUGAGAAUGCUAGGUUGAAGACGUUGCUUGAGACUGGCAUGUACAAAAUCCUCAAAGGGCAUCAAACUCUGUGCGAUGUCCUCAAGAAACAGAUUCUGAACCGAAACCAUAGGAAAAAGGGUGUUGGGUUCGAGAGGAAGAUGAACGUCGAUGGUUCAUAUUGGACGCCUGAGCAGUACCCCAAAACCACCUGGGUAGCUGCUAAGGAUCCUUCAGUGGACCCAUCCACUCUAUCCAGCUUCACUUGUGCUAAUCCAAUUGUCAUUGAUGAAUCCUUUGAUGCAAAUUGUAAAUUGUUUAAGAAUCAGAAUGGUGAAGUGUUUGCCAGGUACAUUGGUACUAACUGUAGGAAUGGGUCACCCCAGAAGAAGAUCUGGAUGCCCAAAAGCUAUCUUGAGAAGCUUCUUAUGAAUGUCAUCAUGACACCACCUGGGAAGAAGACAAACCCUCGACCAAAGGAGUCAUAUGGUCCAAAGGCUUCAUACAGACAGAGGACCACUAAUGGUCACCCUAACAUCGAUGUUUUGCACGAGAAUUGCUAUGAGACUCAUGAAUAUGAGUGUGUUUCAUCCAACCGCUAUGUUCACAAAACUAAGAACUUUUUUGCAUAUUCUUAUAGGUAUUAUUCUCCUCCUGCGAAGCUAUUUACUAGUGCUCCCAAGCCAAAGUUCUCAGAUGUUGCACUUAGACUCAUUGCUUCUAUGCCACCACUAAAGAUGUGGGUGGUUAAGAAGAAUUAACUUGUUUUGCAGGGAAAGGUCUCUAGCAGGAAAGCAAAAUCUUCUGACAAUAAUGCUGGAGACCUAAAACAUCUUGUGGGACGCAAGAUAAAAUGCUCAAAUGGUCUUAUCAUGUAUUUCAUCCCAGGGUUCCUUGACGAGCAUCCUAUCAUGCCUAACCAGGAUUUAAACUUUGAUAAUAUGCUUGUUCGCUACAUGUUUCUGCUUAACAAUACUCUUGGUGAAGUCUAUCCUGCUAAAUGCACUGUAGGGUACAACUCCGAAAGCCACUGAAUGGAUCAUGGAUAGCGGCUGCACCAACCACAUGACUGGUGAUUGAAGUCUUCUAAUGGAUUCAACCCUACGUCCUUCUACUAAGAGCCACAUCACAUUCGCUAACACUGGUAAAAGUAAGGUAUUGGGUCUUGGUAGAGCUUCUAUCUCAAAGGAUCAGCACAUGGAUAAAGUGAUGCUUGUUGAAUCCCUUGGUUACAACUUAAUGUCUGUGUCAAUGCUCUGUGAUCUGAACAUGAUCGUGAUAUUUGGAAAAUAUCAUUGUCUUGUACUAAUGGAAUCUGACAAAUCUCUUGUCUUCGAAGGCUAUUGAAGAGGCGAUCUGUAUAUGGUUGAUUUCUUAGAAGGACCACAACUUGUCGUAUGUCUUCUAGAAAAGGCUUCAGAAUGCUGGCUAUGGCAUCGACGGCUAGGACAUGAGGGCAUGAGGAACCUGUACACUCUCGCGAAGAAGAAGCACAUCAUUGGCAUCGAGGGUGUCAAGUUCAAGAAGGAUCAUCUAUGUGGUGCCUGUGAAGCUGGAAAGAUGACAAGAGCCAAGCAUCCCUCAAAGACAAUCAUGACUACCUCACGCCCCUUUGAGCUGCUUCACAUGGAUCUAUUUGCCCCUACUCACUACUCUACUAUCACUAGUGCUACACAUCUCUAUGGCUUCGUUAUUGUUGAUGAUUACUCAACAUACACCUGGGUGCACAUAAUUCUCUAUAAGACUGAAGUGCAGGAUGUCUUCAGACGCUUCGCAAACCGGGCCAUGAUGAAUUAUGGUAUCAAGAUCAAGCACAUCCAGAGUGACAAUGGCACUGAGUUCAAGAAUGCUGGCAUUGACAUUUAUCUUAAUACUUUGGGCACCACACGCGAGUUCUCUGCUCCUUACACACCUCAGUAGAAUGGCAUCAUGGAGUGCAAGAACAGAACACUCAUUUAGAUGGCACGAACGAUGCUCGAUGAGUACAAGACUCCAAGAAAAUUCUGGCCUGAAGCUAUUGAUACUGCAUGCCACAUCAUCAACAGAGUAUAUCUUCACAAGUUCUUCAAGAAGCCAAAUGUCAAUUACUUCAAGGUCUUUGGUGCUAGGUGCUGGAUCAAAGAUCCACAUCACACAUCUAAAUUUGCACCGAAAGCACAUGAAGGUUUUAUGCUUGGUUACGGAAAGGACUCGCACACCUACAGAGUCUUCAACCUCUUUCACUGUAAAGUGGUUGAAACUGUGGAUGUGUGGUUCGAUGAGACUAACGGCUCGCAAAGAGAGCACCUGCCAAAUGUGCUUGAUGAAGCUACACCAGGUGAAGCUAUCAAGUUAAUGGGUACUGGAGAAAUCAUACCCACGGAGGAACUGGUUGAGGAUGAGAUCAUCAUUUCUGCACCUAAUCAACCUGAAGACAAUUAUCAGUCCAAAGCCAAUGCUGAUGACGAAGACAAUAGUCAGUCAGAUCAAAAUCUUCGUCCAGCUCAUCCUCGGGUUGCAAAUGAAGCCCAAAUUGAGAAGAUCAUUGAUGGAAUCAACACUCCUAGCCCUCUCGCUCGAUCAAGAGCUACACAACUAGCAAACUUCUAUGGUCACUUUGCUUUUGUCUCUAUAUCUGAACCCAAGAAAGUCCAAGAAGCCUUCAUGGAACCUGAAUGGAUUCAAGCUAUGCAAGAUGAGAUUCAACAAUUUGAGCUGAAUAAUGUCUGGGAGCUUGUCAAACGUCCUGAUCCUCGCAAGCACAAUGUCAUUGGCACGAAAUGGAUCUAUCUCAACAAACAAGAUGAACUUGGACAAGUUGUCAGAAACAAAGCUCGCCUCGUUACUCAAGGUUACACACAAGUGGAAGGAAUAGACUUCGAUGAAACCUUUGCUCAUGUGUCUCGGCUUGAAGCCAUUCGCAUACCGCUGGCUUAUGCAAACCAUCACAACAUUCUUCUAUACCAAAUGGAUGUGAAGAGUGCAUUUCUCAACGGCAAAAUUGAAGAAGAAGUGUAUGUCGCUCAACCGCCUGGUUUUGAAGAUCCCAAGCAUCCUGAUAUGGUGUACAAGCUCAACAAGGCAUUAUAUGGCCUCAAACAAGCACCUCGCGCUUGGUAUGACACAUUGAAGGAAUUCCUGAAGAGCAAAGGCUUCAAACCUGGUUCACUAGAUCCCACUCUCUUGACAAAGACAUAUGAUGGUGAACUAUUUGUGUGCCAAAUAUAUGUGGAUGACAUUAUCUUCGGAUGCACUGAUAAGAGAUACAGUGACGAGUUUGGAUACAUGAUGCAAGAGCAAUAUCAGAUGUCCAUGAUGGGGGAGCUGAAAUUCUUCCUUGGUCUUCAAAUCCAUCAACAGCGCAAAGGCAUCUUCAUAUCGCAAGAAAAAUACCUCAAGGAUUGCCUAAAAAAGUUUGGAAUGCAAGACUGCAAAGGGUACACGACGCCAAUGCCAACCAAAAGUCAUCUCGGCCCUAACGACAAUGGUAAAGAGUUUGAUCAAAAGGUAUACCACUCCAUGAUUGGUUCUUUGCUCUAUUUAUGUGCAUCUAGGCCUGAUAUUAUGCUUAGCAUUUGCAUGUGUGCCCGAUUCCAACCGGCACCAAAGGAGUCGCAUCACCUAGCGGUGAAGCGAAUACUUAGAUAUUUGGCUCACACCCCAACACUAGGAUUAUGGUAUCCGAAGGGCUCAACAUUUGAUCUAGUUGGAUAUUCUGAUGCUGAUUAUGCUGGUGACAAGGUUGAUCGCAAGUCCACUUCAGGAACAUUUUCUUGGACGAUCUCUUAUCUGUUGGUCUUCAAAGAAGCAGAACUGUGCAUCACUCUCCACUGCUGAAUCUGAAUACAUUGCUGCUGGAUCGUGAUGUGCUCAGCUUCUCUAAGAAAACUCUCAAGGACUAUGGCAUCAACACGAAGACUGUGCCACUUCUGCAACAAUGAAAGCGCCAUCAAGCUUCCCAAGAAUCUAGUUCAGCACUUGAAGACAAAGCACAUCGAGAUUCGUUAUCACUUUCUUAGAGAUCAUGUCAACAAGGAAGACAUUGAUAUCAUUCACGUCAACACUGAAGAGAAACUGGCUGAUAUCUUCACUAAGCCCUUGGAUGAGAAGAGGUUUUGCAAGCUGCGAUGUGAGCUAAAUAUCUUGGAAUCCUCAAAUGUCCAGUGAAUGGACACACAUCCUAACGCUUAUGCAUGUUGAUGACUUAGAUGUGCAACACACGAAGUAACCUAUGUCUUCAAUAAAUGAAGACUUACCCUCUGAGUGUGAAUACAUUAACAUGGAAUUUGACUUCAGAGUGCCACGAUAAUUGUGCGCCGUGUCUGGGUCUAAUAUUUCCUAUACGGUGGGUAACGCCACCACCAAAACUUUUCAAAGAUUUUCAUUUGGCGUCAUAACUACAAUAUCUUUGCAUUUGGAUUAUCUUCACAAUGUUGAUUUGUCUUCAGUAAUGAUUAUAUCUGCAUAUGUGUUCUGUCCUCUAGAGCAUUCACUUAUAGCUAUGUCUUCAUGUUGCUACUUUCUGACCUAAGUGAAUGUGAUCGGACCCUAAUCCCUUCUGUGCUACUCCCUCAAAUUCUUUUUGUCCAAGACAUGUGCAUUCUGUUGACACUUGUCGAAUAUCUUCUCUGCGUCCUUGUCAGUAGAAGAUACAGAGACACACAUUUACAAACUGAUUUUAAUGUUAUAUCAUUUUGCCUAAAAACUGGAGAAGCUGGAACGACCAGCCGACAAUCCAGGCGUGCAUGGGAACAUAGAUCAACUCCUGACAAGUUGCAUGCACGCCACAUGUUCCUCAGAUGUGAACCGCCAGGGGCACCUGCGUAAUAGCGCUUGUAACGCCCCGAGACCGACGCUCCAGAAGACUUCCAGUUAUUUCGAGUUUCGCCGUGUGUUUCUUUUGUGCUUGCUCUUUUAUUUUGUGUUUCUUUUGUGCUUGCUCUUUUAUUAUUGCAUUGCAUCAUGUCAUCAUGCCAUCAUGUCAUUAAUUUUAUAACUCCUUUAAAUAAAUUGUAUGGAUUGUUUGAUCCAUUUAAAUUGAGGGAUAUUCACAAUGGUGACUUCUCUUUAUAACAUACCCUCCCGAUAUUUAGGGAGAUAUUAUAAAAUAUUCCAUUAUUUUGGAAUCACCCAUAAACACACUUGCAAAAUAAUUUCGUUCCUUUUCUGCUUCAAGUUUGGUCUCCAACCUUGCCCAUAAUUUCUUUCAUCAUUUUCCGGAGCUCCACCAAAAAUCUGAACAUUUUUGGACCUUCCUUUUAUCAAGUCCUAGUUCAAACCCAUUUGAAUUAAAUUCAAAUGAGUUUGAAUUUACAUCUUUCAACCGUGGCCUUUCUAUUUUUCUUGGAACGAGCAUAUUUUUGUGAGUCCGGGAAAAUUAUCCCCUUGCGCAUUUUCUUUCCCUAACCCCCCUCUUCAUUUUCCUUCUCUCUAAUGUUUUCUGUUAGAAAUUAAGAGAGAGAGAGAGAGAGAGAGGUAAGCCCAGCCAGGCCUUUGGCCAUUUCCUCUCCACCUGGGCCGACCCAACCGGCCUCUCAGGCUCAGCCGCCCCCACCAGGUCUAACCCUAGCCCAGUCCCCAUGCAUCUCAUCUCUCCCUUCGUUCUCCCCCUGCGCCGCAGCGCACCCGCAACGCUCGAUCCCCCCACCUCCUCGCUCGAUCUCCAUCUCCCUCGCAGCCUCUCUCUCCCGACCUCAUCGGGGUGGCCAACUCCGGCGACCCUCAGGCCAUGGCGCCGCCUUGCUGCUCCCUCCAGCGCCCAAGCCUCCUCCUCUGCUUCGCCCCCUCAUCUACUCCCUCAGCCAUGGCGCUUCGCCGUCCCUCGUCUCGCCCAUGCCGACGACCAGCAGUAGGUCGCCGCUCUGCGCCAUCCGGUAGCGCCUGCAGCUCGCGUCUCCACCCCUCCUCGUUGCCCCGUUGUGCUCCGGAGGUCAGGGACGCCAUGGACGAGCCUCGCGGCCAUGCCCCUGUCGUCCCCGUGCCCCUGCGCCACCAGGACCUCUGCCGUUCGCCUCCUGCAGCCCGAGCACCUCGACUCAACGCCACCUCGCCAUGGAUGCCGCCAUGGACGCCGAGCUCGUCCCCGCCACGCCAAGCCCCUCUCCAGCGAUCGCCGCUGCCUCCGUCGUUCCCCUGGCCAAGCUGCUGCCAUGUUCCUGCGCCGCCCUCUUGCCGUUCUUUGUCGUCGCCGGACCCGCGCCGUCCUCUGCUUCCUCUAUGGUGACCAGGAGCCACCUCGCCCGCGCAUCUCCUCCACCAUCAGCUUGCAAUGCCCAAGCGGAGCUGAGCUCCUCCCGGUCCCCAUGGUGCUGCGACCCCAUCACUAUUCCUGCUGGCCAUCGCCGAGUUUCCCCAGGACCCGUGGAGUCAUGCACGGGAAAACCAAGUCUGAAGAUUCCGUGGACGUGUGCCUAGUGUCACCUGGAUCGUCAAGUACUGUCUCCGUGGAUUAUUCAAGUACCACAACUACCGCCGCCGUUGAUUCGACAAGACAACAUGUACAACUACUUCCCCUACGUCGCCGAGAACGACUACUUCCACGACGUCCGUGAACCACUACCGUCGACCCUCGAAGACCCCGUGGACCCCGAACAUCCACGGGACAUGAACAACUACUUCCACUACGAGAUGUACCACUAUCGUCGCCACGUGAACAACUACUUCCCCCGACGACCCGUGAACGUCUACUUCCACUACCGUCGUGAGAACGUCUACUUCCUCUACAUUGCACCGAACCCAAACCGCCCGGAAACGCUCGCUUCAAAGGUAUAACCCCGAGACGAUCAACCGCGGACCGAAUGCUUGUGUGUUGUAAGAGAUGUACCAUAUGUUUGCACCGUGAUCGAAUCAUCCUUGCGAUGCCCCUCUUUUGCCAUGCCACCGUCCCGUGGGAACCCGAAAUCCGGGAUCACCCCACCAUCUUGCAUGACCCGCUCACGUCACACUUCCUUUUGCACCGGUAUCUCCAUGAGCUACCGGAACCGAUAUGUUGCCGUGGCAUCAUUUUCGGUUAUGUUGUCGUGGCAUCAUUUUCGGAUAUGUUGCCGUGGCACCAUUUCUGUUUCGCCGCCGUGGCACCCUUUUCAUUCCGCCAUGGUGACCAAAUGCCUCGUAUCAUGCUCAUGUUAACGUUUUCUUAAAAUUGCAUAAACUUGCACAUGUCAUCCGCAUCAUGAUAACAACAUUAAAAUGCUUAAAAUUCUUGUUUGCGUUAAAUUGCUAACUGUCAUAUGGGGAUUUUCCGGAAUUGUUGUUUGUGUUUCCGGCCUCAUUUAAACUUGCCUAAAUAGGUAGUUUAAUUAUGUUUCACCUCUUGCCAUGUUUGACAACAUUUAAUAUUGUUGGUUAGCAUAAACGAGAGCGAACUAAAUGAUUGAAUGUGGUGUUUCGUCAAUAUGCAACUCUUUGCAUAUUGAGCUCCACUUAAUUUGUAGUAUUGUUUGUUGCACCUUGCCAUGCCAUGCCUCUUUAAACCGGACAUGCAUCAUAUUUGGUUGUGCAUCAUGCCAUGAUUAUGUGAUGGUUGUUUACCAUGUUGUUUGCUUCUUUUCGGUUUGCUUCUCUCGUUAGCUUCGGUUUCGUUCCGGAGUUGUGAGGAUUCGUUCGACUACGUCCGUUUGUCUUCUUCAUGGACUUGUUCUUCUUCCUUGCGGGAUCUCAGGCAAGAUGACCAUUACCCUCGAUAUCACUUCUAUCUUUGCUUGCUAGUUGCUUCGUUCUAUCGCUAUGCUGCGCUACCUAUCACUUGUUUACCAUGCCUCCCAUAUUGCCAUGUCAGCCUAUAACUUUUUCACCCUUCCUAGCAAACCAUUGCUUGGCUAUGUUACCGCUUUGCUCAGCCCCUCUUAUAGCAUUGUUAGUUGUAGGUGAAGUUGAAGAUUGCUUCAUGAUGGACAGGAUUAUUUCGGGAUAUCACAAUAUCUCUUAAUUAAUUAAUGCAUCUAUAUACUUGGUAAAGGGUGGAAGACUCGGCCUUAUGCCUAGUGUUUUGUUCCACUCUUGCCGCCCUAGUUUCCGUCAUACCGGUGUUAUGUUCCCGGAUUUUGCGUUCCUUACGCGGUUGGGUGAUUUAUGGGACCCCCUUGACAGUUCGCUUUGAAUAAAACUCCUCCAGCAAGGCCCAACCUUGGUUUUACNNNNNNNNNNNNNNNNNNNNNNNNNNNNNNNNNNNNNNNNNNNNNNNNNNNNNNNNNNNNNNNNNNNNNNNNNNNNNNNNNNNNNNNNNNNNNNNNNNNNNNNNNNNNNNNNNNNNNNNNNNNNNNNNNNNNNNNNNNNNNNNNNNNNNNNNNNNNNNNNNNNNNNNNNNNNNNNNNNNNNNNNNNNNNNNNNNNNNNNNNNNNNNNNNNNNNNNNNNNNNNNNNNNNNNNNNNNNNNNNNNNNNNNNNNNNNNNNNNNNNNNNNNNNNNNNNNNNNNNNNNNNNNNNNNNNNNNNNNNNNNNNNNNNNNNNNNNNNNNNNNNNNNNNNNNNNNNNNNNNNNNNNNNNNNNNNNNNNNNNNNNNNNNNNNNCUCCUUUGAGUGUUGGCCCGAACUGAGCUGCCUGCGGGGCCACCUCGGGGAAACUUGAGGGCUGGUUUUACUCGUAGCUAGUCUCAUCCGGUGUUGCCCUGAGAACGAGAUAUGUGCAGCUCCUAUCGGGAUUUGUCGGCACAUCGGGCGACUUUGCUGGUCUUGCUUUACCAUUGUCGAAAUGUCUUGCGAACCGGGAUUCCGAGUUUGAUCGGGUCUUCCCGGGAGAAGGUAUAUCCUUCGUUGACCGUGAGAGCUUGUGAUGGGCUAAGUUGGGACACCCCUACAGGGUAUAAUCUUUCGAAAGCCGUGCCUGCAGUUAUAGGCAGAUGGGAAUUUGUUAAUGUCCGGUUGUAGAGAACUUGAUACUUGACCUCUUUAAAAUGCAUCAACCGUGUGUGUAGCCAUGAUGGUCUCUUUUCGGCGGAGUCCGGGAAGUGAACACGGUUUUGGGUUAUGUUUGACGUAAGUAGGAGUUCAGGAUCACUUCAUGAUCAUUGCUAGCUUCACGACCGUUCCAUUUGCUCUCUUCUCGCUCUUAUUUGCAUAUGUUAGCCACCAUAUCAUGCUUAUUCGCUGCUGCAACCUCACCACUUCACCCCUUCCUUUCCCAUAAGCUUAAAUAGUCUUGAUCUCGCGGGUUUUGAGAUUGCUGAGUCCUCGUGACUCACUAGAUACUAUCACAACAGUUGCAGGUGCCGAUGAUACCAGUACAGGGGAUGCAACCGAGCUCAGAUGGGAGCUCAACGAAGACCUUGGUUGUUGCUAUGUAUCGUUUCAUGUUAAUCAGUAGUGGAGCCCAGUUGGGACGAUCGGGGAUCUAGCAGUUGGGUUAUCUUCUUUUCUUUUGGCUUCGUCCGUAGUCGGACUUAUGUGUGUACUCUGAAUGAUGUAUGAUUUAUUAUAUGUUCAUUGUGUGAAGUGGCAAUUGUAAGCCAACUCUUUAUCCCAUUCUUGUUCAUUACAUGGGAUUGUGUGAAGAUGACCCUUCUUGCGACAAAACCACCAUGCGGUUAUGUCUCUAAGUCGUGCUUCGACACGUGGGAAAUAUAGCCGCAUCGUGGGUGUUACAGUGCUGCACCACCCUCCUCCUUCUUAUAAAUACACACCCCUCACGGUCAAAAUUCCUUCUUCCACCUUGCCACCUCGCUCAAACCCUAGCGCCUCCGCUAGCUCGCGUUGACGCCGGAGAUGAAGCGCUUAGAUGUCGCGAUUUCUUCGACGUCGUCCUCACGCUAGCCGCGGACCUCUUCCUCUCUGCUGCCGCCAAGUUAGGGCACGGGAGAUUGGACUGCUCGGCCCCCCGUCUACUUCGUCUAGCAGUUCAUCUGUGGUAAUUAAAACCUACUUUUUAUAGUCUUUUCGAUCUAUCAAAUCCAUCCACUUCAACCAAAAGUGGUUUAUACACUUCCAAAUCUGGAUUUGUCUCUUUCUGAAUCUCAUAUAUUGCAAAGUAUGUUCACUUAUGCUUCAAAACUAGUUAGAUUCCUCACUUGUACCUAUUCGCGGAUUCAUACAAAUCUGGAACCAACUUCCUUCAAUAAGUGAAUGUCUUCGCACUGUGAGGUCAAUGUCUUCUCAACUGAUUUAUCUUCAAAAUCUUCUGAGAAUGCAUAUGACCUCUUCCCCUUCCCUUGCAUCUCUAAUGUUGUCACAGGUACAUGUCCGUGGGAGAAUCCCUUGGUUCUCAUAGUUGCAUUCAUUUGCAGAAUUCUUACAGCGUCACAUCGAAUCUCCUGAAGCCAGUUCUUGCCUGACCAGCAAACGGAAGCCUUUCACUGUUUUGAAGCCAAUCAGUCUGAACCUUAUGGCUUCAGAGAAGUCUGCAAGGAAAGGAGGCAGGCAACGGCAUGGCAACACUACACUUGAUUUGCCUGAAGAUCUGUAUGAGCUCUACAAGUCUAACCCACAGGAGAGCUACACCCAGCGCAAGAACCGGAUCUAGUGGAUCCGAAGAUAUUGGGCAGAGCAAUGGUUCAAGUACAGGUUUGUAACUACUGAAUAUGCUGAAAAGAAUGCCAUCAAGCGCCCGUGGGGUGACUGUUUGUACCGUGGUUUGGUACCAAAGAAUAAGGCUGAAGCUAUUGAACAAGGGUUAUAUCCCUGUAUGGCCAGAGGACCACAGCCUGAUAAUGCCGAUCCAUCUUCUCUCUUAUGGUGUCGUGAAGACAAUCUUUUCAAGCGCAACUUCCAAUUUGCAAAAGAUUAUGCAGCUAAGAACCAAAAGGAGUUUGUCCUCAACCUCAACCCUGGCCACUCCACUCCGAGACCAGAUGGAACUCGUGAAGCCAAUGAGAACAGGAUUGGCCCCUUCGCCAACUUCGAUGGGCUUCUGUCUCAUAUUGCUGCCCAGAGAGCUGUUGUGGAGCAAUCUGCUGAAGAAGCAGAUUCUGAUGAUGCUCCAUCACCACCAAAGCAUAAGAAGAAGAAGAAGAAGAAGAAGAAGAAGAAGAAGAAGAAGAAGAAGAAGAAGAAUAAGAAGAAGAAGAAGAAGAAGAAGAAGAAGAAGAAGGCAAAAGCUUCAAAGCCUUCUACCUCUGCUGCUCCAAAAGCUUCAACCAAGAAGUCACUAACAACUGCAUCGCCAGAAUCCAGUGUGUAGUUUGAAGAUUUAUCUCGCGUGUCCAAGAGGACCAAGAGGCAAUUUCCCAAGAAGGCUACUGGGCAACCCCUCACCCCUGCUUCCAUUCUGCGCAACGAGGAUGACACCAUUGAUCUUUCCAGCGAUGAAGAUCUUGGUGAUGAAGCAUUUGAGAUGCUGAUCAAGAGUAAGCAAGAGGCAGAGAUCUUCAGUGAUCUGCCCCUCUUUGAUGUUGACAUCUUGAACAAUUUCAUUGAUGAGCAGUUUGACGACCAGAACAUCAGCAUUGACAGUCCGCAGCUACUAGUGGGCAUUAGCGUCACAUUCCACUCUGCAAUUGCUAAUGAGCUGGCCCUGGCACAGAAACUCAUCGAGCUCAAGAACAAAAUUGACUAUGAGAAGGCCCACUUCAAGAAGAACGUGCACAAGCUCAGUGUGGCAAAUGUGCAAAUCUUCAAGAAGAUGUUGCAUGACCUCAAAACUGAAUUUUGUAAGAAGCAUGAAGAAGCCAAAGGCUCUCGAGAACGCAUGAAGUCUUAUGCUCAGAAAUGUGUGCAAGCGCACAAUGAAGCUGAAAAUAGGAAAGCUCUUGGGUGUCGUGGCAUUGAUCCCAGAAUGGCUGCUAAGAAGAGCAAGAAGCAUGCUGAAGCUAAUCCUAACACUGCAAGGCAGGGACAACCCAGCAUUGUCUUCCCUACCAGCAUGAUUGGCUCGGAGCUAAAGGUCCCCUUAGCUACUUCUGAGCUCAAAAAGACUAGGCAAGCUAAGCAGAAGCGAGGAAGAGGAAGCACAAGGAUACAUCUGAUGAUGCCCCCUCCAAGAAAAAGCUGAAGACUAAGGGCUCUAAGUCUUCAAGGAAAGAUCAUGCUGCUGCCUCUGAGCCCCUUGUUGUUGAACCCAUCUAUGUUGUAUAUCCUGCCUCUGCUAAUCGCGAGCGCGGUCUCGUUGUUCAUGAGCCUGCUCCCACAGAGGCUCCAGAAUCUGAUGAAGUUCCAGCUGUUGACCUCAAUGCAACUGAAGACAUUAGUCAUGAAGACAAUGUAGUUGAUGAUGAAGUCCUUCCUCAGCUCGAGCGCCAGUUGGUAUCAUCGCCUACUCCAACGAGCAGUGAAUAUAUUAGAAUUGGUCGUCCAUUGACGCCAAUCGCUCAAGAUGACUCCUAGGCUGAGCGCCAACAAGAAGAUACCCAUGUUCAAGAUGAGACACCCCAUACUCCACCAGCUCAAGUUACCUAUCUGGUACUUGAUGAUGACAGUUAAAUGGAGACCACUCCAUCUACAAAGGUGUCGCCAGCGUUUUGCAGGCUUCGCAAAGGUCUCAAGCCAUCCGUCUCCAUGUCCACCAUUCCAGAAGAAGAUUCACAACAAUCCAGCUCAGUGGCACAUCAAGUAUUCCCUGAAGAGAAUCCUUCUGCGACUGAUCAAGCAUCUGAAGCUAAUGCUGCUGAAGACAUUCCGGUUGCAAUCAGCCGAUGAAGAAAGAAGAGAACAAGAAAGAGAAGCCACACCCCCUGUUGUUGAUCAAGUCAUUCUUAAAGAGAAUGUGAUCGUGUUUGACCCUCCGAUCAUUGACCAAAUGGAUGUUGAAAACAACGAGGCUGCCACCAACACUGCUAUUGAAGCCAAUGACCCUGUCAUGGUUAAAGACAAUGUGGAGACUGAAGCCAAUGUGAAUGUUGAAGCUACUGUGACACCAGUCAUCACUGAUGGUGUUGUUCCUCCACCAUGGCCUCGCACAAUGGAAUUGGCUUUCAAUCAUGACGAUCAUCUAGUCACUGUUCGCUGGCCAAUUGUGAUUCCUCCUACCGCUCCAGGACCACAAUAUGACUAUCAUGUGGAGUGAAGGCCUCAAGUCCAGAAGCCAAAGCCGCGUCUGCCAAGGCUUCCUAGCGCUAUAACUACCCAAGGCUCAUUCAGUGUGCUCAGUAUCAGAGAAGACAAUACAUUCUUUGAUAGUGCCAAGAACCCUUACAAGAAGCAAAGAAUCUCAUCUGACAGAUUUUGGAGCCACCAACAGCGAAGCUAUUGCAUUCUGUACAAUCAAGACAGGAUUUUUCCGCACAGGCGUCUGGAUUGUGAUGCUAUGGCUAGGCUGCCAUUUCUAGAAGAAGCCCUUGACUGCUUUAGGGAUGUUGGUCUUCUGGCAUUUGUCACUGAUAAAGAGCACUGGAAUGAAGAGCUCCUCCUAUAGUUCUAUGCCACCUUACACAUUCGAGGCUACAACAGGGAUCCGAAGACUUGGAUCUUUGAGUGGAUGAUAGGUGAUGUGCAUCACGAAGCAAAAGCUCAGGAUAUCAUCGAGCUAACUUCCUUGCCCACUCUAGGUGAGCUUUACGAACCUGGUUGUUUGUUUUAUCAGAAUGAACUACAGAGCAUAUUUCAGAAGCCUGAGCCGAACAUGAGCCAAAUGCUUAGCAUGAUGAAGCAUUUGCCCCAAGACACUAAAUAUCCAAAGGAAUUCUUUGUUAAGGACCUCGAGUAUCUGCCACGCAUAGUAUAUCACAUUCUGAGGCAUACUCUCUGCCCAUCAAAGGCCAUUCAUCUGAAGCCAAACUUGAAGGAUCCAUGAAGACUUUGGUGUUCUAUAUCGUCAAUGGCAUCAGAUUCAACACUCGGGAUUUCUUCAUCAGACAACUUGCUGCUUCCGGGAUUGAUCUAUUUGGUCUGAAGUUCUAUGCUCCAUGGGUGAUGCGCUUGAUUAAGCUUCAUUCAACUAUUGACUAUCGGCCAUCAGCUCGCAACCACAUUGUCUUCUUGCCUGAUGUUGAUAUGUCUGUUGAAGCCAUCUACCCUGAGCCUGUAAAGGAACCCCUCCAUCUUUAGAAUGCUGAGUUCCAGAGCUUCACACAACCCAUUGAUAGUGUUCAUGUGCCCAAUGCUGCAACUCAUGCAUAUCCCUUGGCUGGAAACCUGCACCUACCGCAUCAUGCAAACACUGAAGCCACUGGAAGCACCAUUGCACAAAGGCCUCAGAAGUGUCCUCGUGUUCUCAAUGACCGUGAGCUUCUGGUGGCUUUACAUCAAAAGCAGGACAAACAUCAUGAUUGGCUAAAGCGUCAGAUGAAGAGUAUCUUGGUGGAUGUCAAUUGCAUUCGCAACUUAGCCACCAAGAACUCGUUUGUUGCUCAUGAAGCUUGUCGUUGUUCCUGGAAGAGUCUCACCUUGCUAUGCGCUGAAGAUGAACUUCGCGCGGAUGGCUUCACUGAAAACUUCAAGUUUGACACCAGGCCUCCUCAAAAUGCAAGUUGGCAUCGCACACCCUCCAUUGAAGAUUCUGAGUAUUCAUCCUCGACGGCAACUGUUGUUGCGAGAGUCGUCGAUGAAGAAGAUGACGCUACUUUGCCUGCUCUCACUGCUCAACAUGAUGAUGAUGCAUAAGGCCUGUCUGCACCACCUAACUCCACCAUCGACCCUGCUGCUCCAACAUCGUCUCCAACUGGGAAUGAGUAGAUACUCUAUGUCUUCAAACCUUUUUGGUCAUUACUGACAAAAGGGGGAGAAGCAUAUGAGUUGAUAGUCUUCAAGUGGGUCCAUAUGGGUGGUUGCUUAUUUUUUUUGCUGAGUUCUUACAACUCUUGUUCUGAAACAUUUGGCUUUUGAGUUGUAACACUUAAAUUUGAUGGUCGUCUGCUACUUUUGCUGGCACUUUGUGAUGCGAUGAUAAAUUCUGCAUGAAGUCAUUCUGCAGAUGUCCAUUUUCCAUUAUGCAUAUCAUUAUCUUCAUUAUCUUCUUAUAUGCAUGAUGCAUUAUCUUCACACUUUGAAGAUGGCCUCCACAAAGCAAAACCUGCCAUGUGCAUUUGCAUUCAAAAGCAAACUAUUUAUAUGCACAUCUUCAGGGGGAGCCUCGCCAUAUGUAUGAAGACAAUACUCACAACACUGAACUUUCACAUACUUUUAUCCCUGUUGAAAACUUCAACCAGUUUUUCAUCAAUCCCUAAAAAGGGAGAGAUUGUAAGUGCAUCUAGUGCCAACCCUAGUUGGUUUUGGAGUGUUGACAACAAACAUGGUUGAAGGACUAAUGUGUGUGUGAGAAUUGCAGAUUAACACAGGUAGUGUCCCUCAUUGAUUCAGUUUAACUACCAGAGAUGACCCCUAAAAAUGUGAGAAGACAUUGAAGACAAUGGUGGUUCGUGAGACAGUCACGACGAAGAUUAUGACGCGUGAAGCUAUUCACUUGAAGACUAUGGAGUGCGAGGACAUAGUUGUUUCGUAGUUUCCUUUUCUUCUUAUUGAGUCAUAGGAACCACCAUACUAUUAAGUGUGUCCAAGUGAACAAAAUCAGAGUGACUGAAGUGAUGCUCAACCAAAUCCUAUGUCUUCGAGCGAAGACGAUGAGAGCAAAUCUUAUCCAGAGCUGGAUGAGUCAGCUUUGCUUGUAGCCCAAGCCAAGCUAUCACGUGUGUUUGAAAUCUGACCGUUGGACACGUGUCAGUUCCUUAGUGACCUAGGGUCAUUUUGGACAAAUCAGGUCGGGUUGCCUCCUGGCUAUAAAUAGCCCACCCCCUACACCAUAAAUUGGUGGCUUAUUAGAGUUAGUGCACGACUUUUGUCGUUUGAGAUCAACCCACCUCCGAAGCAUUUGAGAGAGAAAUCCUUGCGAGGACAAAGCCCAAAACACCCAGAGCCAAAGAGUGUUAGGCAUCACUGAAGUCUUUCUGUCCGCUGAUCUGAAGACUUAUUACACUUGAGGACUGUGAAUCCUCCAGCUGGUUAGGCAUCGCGUUCUGAGCAUCCAAGAGUCAUUGUGGAUUGCCGGUGAACAAAGUCUAUGAAGGUUUGAAAGUCUACCUUGAAGACUUACCAGAGUGAUUGGGCGAGGACUGGGUGUCCUUAGCUCAAGGGGAAUAAGGUGAAGACACGGUCUUCUGAGUUAAAUCUCAGCCUCCCUAACCAGACGUACAGUUGUUACAGCAACUGGAACUGGUCUACCAAAUCCUUGUCUUCGUCAAGCUACUGGUUAUAUCCUAUACUCUCCUUACUUUACAGUUGUCUUCGUGAAGUUAUUGCUUACUUGUCUAAUCUGUUUGACUUCACACUGUGAAGACUAUUAUCUGUUUAGCUUCGUACUAUCUACCUUUCUCAUCAUGUCUACCUAGUUGCUAUUAGUCUUCAUGUUUUCAUUAUGUUGUAUGUUAGACUUAUGCUUACCUUGUGUAGUUUUCAUUCCGCUGCUUACUAAUUAGGCUCAGUUACUUGUUUGUCUUCAAAGCCACCGUGUUUUGAAGACUUUCAUAAAAAUCGCCUAUUCACCCCACCCCCCCACCCCUAGUCGGUAACUAGCACUUUCAACUAUGCUGCCCCGCAUCUCACUCCGCGGCAACAUUUUGUGUCCAUCAUCAUCGUCGGCCAUCACGUGUCAUACAAUGUCAAUCUUAACCCAGAGCACACCUUCACGAAGUCGCAGUUGCCAACUUCUGUCCGUUCACGAAUGCCGGCUCCCACGCCCUUCAGUGCCAUGUCUCUGUUUGCCGGGAUGUUUCAACCGGGUGUGGUGGUGUGUGUGAUUGUGAUUUUUUUGCGCUCAUAACACCGUUGUUUAAUCCAAAUAAUCCUAGAAUUCCUGGGAAAUCACUUUGAUGUUGCCACUAAUAACUAAUGAACACGAGAAAUCAUGAAACCCUUUUGUUUAAUGUUUUCCAUGGGAAAUGGUCAUAAACAUAGAAGAAUAUCAUCGUUGUAGAAGGAAAUACGAAAUUUGGUGGAAUAGGCAAAUCAACAGGAGACGCAGGAAGCAGUCCAAAGCACAAGACAACACAUUGUACGAGGGCACCCCGCUCGUACAACCGUUUUUUGGAAUAGGCUGCUCCGACGCUUUGUGGUUGUGAUUUUAUAUGUUUACACUUAUAUUUAUGUAUGCUAAAAUUCUUAUUAAUCAACAUAAGCAUGUCAAAUACAGAGGUCGGGUCCGGGACAGACACUUGGUGCACCUGGUUAGAUGACCGGCUCGCUGCCGAUGCAUGCGGACACAUUAAGAUGCAUCCGUGGAUGUUUAAUGUGUUCAAUUUGAUGCACAACGCCUAAGCAUGUCUCCAACACGAACCCUCCAACUGUCUGCAUCCGUCCGGACCGCGUGGUCUAGACGGUUUUUCUAUCCAAUAUGAUCAUGUAUCCGUCCGAUGGCCGGUCCAGAUGUCCUUUUUUCGUAAACCAAAAAAAAACCUGGGGGCUUCGUGGGCGUCCGGACAGCUACCACGCCCGCUUCCGACAACCAUGGCCCACACAAAACCUUCUCCUUCACCCGUGCCCUUUCCUACCUAAGGAGGUCAGCGCCGCUCAGGAGCAUCAUCGUCGUAUUCAUGUUGGCCAAAGGUUGACACGACCUCUCACUGAAGCCGGCAUUGAAGUGGCGCACCGACCGAAAGUGCCGCCCACUCAUGUCUUCCCUCCGCAUUGAAACGACAUUCGUCCGCAUACCCUCAUUAAACUAGUGCGUCUGCCGAGGAACCUACACUGGCUCACCGAGCGCCAUACGUUCGUCCGCAUCCGGCCGGCAUUAAACACCCCGCCGCUUGGCGCCUAGCAUCCGCCUAUUAUUUAAAUGUGGCUAGGCGCUCGGCAAUUGCCACAACACACCUUCGCUCUCCGUAUCCUCCUUGCACCACACCCGUCAUGGCCUUGAGUUCCAAAGCCCUAUGGGACGGCCUCUCCGGCGAGCAGAAGAAGGAACUCUCCCGCAUUGCAGCCGGCUGGGUGACCCGCCGUGACAGUAGGAUACAGGUUGGCUUGUCAGCGAGCUCUCCAGAGGGUAGCAACACGGACAAGCCGACGCAACCGCCCUCGUCGGUCUAGGCCGCCAUCACCAUUGGCGAGGCAUGGGAACACUGCACCGACUUGGUGUUGGAAGAACAAGAGGCCGCGUUCCGGCAGGCGCACGUCGGCCAGAGGUACAACCUCCGCAUCCUCGACGAGCACUGGCAUGCGAAAGAGCAAAUCAUCGGCACGUUCAUCAUGGCAAACAUGGACGAGUAGAAGGCGAUGCUCCUGUCCUACGCAGCAGCCAGUGAAAUCCGCCACGAGCGAUCGUGGCACAGGUCCCUGCAGGCGGAGAAAGAAGCCAUGUUCAUGAAGAUUGACGCGGCGGCGGAGGGAUUUGAUUGGAGCACACUGAUGUCAUCGCUAGCUCUGCGUCGGCCGCACCCCGCCGCCAUGACGAUGAAGCCGGCAUGUCCGUGGCUAUUGCCGAUAGCGAGGAAAAGUAGACCAUGGAAGACUGUCGCUUCUUGUGUCCUAGGAAGGCCACCGCCACCGUCUUGUCGGGCGUCACAGUCGGUGGCUUGCCUGCUUCACGGGGGCAUAGGCCACCACAACUAUCUUCCCUCGCCCAAAAACCAACCGUUCAUCCGUGCUUCACGGAGGCAGAGCCUAUUCUUCCCCUCGCGCUGAAGCAUUUAGCUCUGGGGCUGGCGACGGUCCAGUGAGCUUGUUGUCGGACAUGGGGAAGACAUGUCGUGGCAAACAGGCUAUGUCGCGGCCGACGAUAGACUAGGUUAGAAUCCGCCAUAGUUUAGUUAAAAUAUUCUGAAAUGUAAAUGUGUUCGUCCGGUUUGCAUGAAUUUUGGUUUGUUGAAAUCCAUUUUGAAAUGUAUGCGGACAAGAACUGAUCCAUCAAUCCAUGGAUGGAUACGGUGCCCGGUUUAGAGGGUCAACGGGAGAUGCCCUAAGCAAGCAUUGGAAUGUUUGGUACCUGACCAAGCUCGCUCUUCCAAAUAGAUGAUGCAUGAGUGAUACGUUGGUGACUGUACAGAGUUCUUCUUUUAUCUGCUUCUCGGCCGCACGAAAAGGUUGUUUUUUUCAGCACAGAGUCCAUUAGACCGGUUUUUCAUCAAACGGCAGAGGAUGCUCGCUAGGUCCCACUGCCUUUUUAUGAAAAAACAUACUGAUGUGGUAGACUCCGGAUUGGGACAGCCCAAGGUGCCCGCCAUCAGCACACUACUACUGACGUACUGUACCAUUCUGUGUUGUUCUGUGGUUUUCAACUACCAAACCCACCAGUACAAGGGAUGUCUUUUCUCCUUGGUUAUAUAAUGAAGCUGAUAUGCACAAGCCAAGUCUCUUGGACAAUCGUUACAAAGAGGAAAGAGGAGAAGAUCGUGAAGCCAUGGGAGGAGUUGGGGGAGGAGGAACAGGUAGAGGAAGAGGCGAUCGCCAAGCAGAGCCGCUGCUUCGGAAGCUCUCUGAAUCCUCUUCUGACAAUUCUUCGGAGGAGCAUCUAGUGAAAAGAACCGGUAAGUCCCUGCAUCAGGAUUAUAAUUAUAUACCUUGUUUUUAUACUGGAUGAUUCGUCAGAAGCUAUGUCAUGAGCUUCCAAGUUCCAAACCCAGCCCCAUGUCUGAAACUUCUGGUUUUGAUGUGUUCUUCGCGGUGUACAUCCAGCCAGCCAGCCAGCCAUAUAGUUUGCUUUUCCACAUAAUACAUGAACUAUCUUGAUCUAUAUGCAUGUAAAUAGCCAAAAUAAGAAUCUGCCAUGGAAAUACUCAAACCAUGUAAAGGAAAAACAUUCAUGUCAUUUACACAUCCAGCUCGAUGGUGCUGAAGGUUCGGCGAGAAACUAAGCUGCCAGUCACUGUCAAUGAUGACAGUGGGUUCCACUUUGGGCCUGGCCGGCCACAACAGCGACGCCAAAGCAUAACCACAAUUCCAAACACAUCACAACUGCUCCUCCGCGUGCCCCUCUCAAGAUGACUUCAUACCCCGGCGUGAGUCGUCACUUGCUUGCACGGCUAGACAAUAGGCAUGAUGUCUAGUAAUUGUCUAUGUGUGCAUUCUGCCGACGGAAAAGUUUUGAUCUGUGGAGCUUCCUUGACAGGCACGGUAUGGACGGCGAUGGCGCACGUCAUCACGGCGGUGAUAGGGUCCGGCGUGCUGUCGCUGGCGUGGAGCGUGGCGCAGCUCGGCUGGGUCGGGGGGCCGGCGGCCAUGGUGCUCUUCGCCGGGGUGACCGUGGUACAGUCCUCCCUGCUCGCCGACUGCUACAUCUCCCGCGACCCGGAGCGCGGCGCCGCCGUCAGGAACAGGUCCUACGUCGACGCCGUCAGGCUCUACCUAGGUGAUCAUCAUAUCAUUAUAUUCGUACCUUAGUACUGUUUACAAAAAAAACAUUUUAAUGUGCGUGCGCUUGCAGGCGAGAAGAGCCAGAUGCUCAGCGGGUUUUUCCUCGGCUUCAGCUUGUUUGGGAACAGCGUGGUGUACACUCUCACCGCGGCCGCUAGCAUGAGGUAGUAAUAAACUUGUGGUUACUUUUUCUUUUCUUUUUUGGGCGGGUAAAGUUGUGAUUAGUUGGCCAACUCUUAUUUUGCAGGGCGAUCGAGAGAGCCAACUGCUACCACAGGGAAGGCCACGGCGCGCCGUGCUGCGCCGCCACCGCCGGCGGGUCGUCGGACGCCUACUACAUGCUCCUGUUCGGCCUCGCGCAGGUGGCGCUGUCGCAGAUACCGGACUUCCACAGCAUGGCGUGGCUCUCCGUCUUCGCCGCCGCCAUGUCCUUCUCCUACUCCUUCAUCGGCUUCGGCCUCGGCGCCGCCAAAGUGAUCGGUAGGUGCAGAAACCACAGCAUAAUGCUCCCGCCCACACGUACGUGCGUGCGUGUCAUGAGAUGUGCCUCCAUUUUCUUUCAGAGAAUGGAGUCAUCAAGGGCGGGAUCGGAGGCGUCUCCCUGGUGUCCCCGGCGCAGAAGGUGUGGCGCGUGGCGCAGGCCCUGGGCGACAUCGCCUUCGCCUACCCGUUCUCCCUGGUGCUGCUGGAGAUCGAGGACACGCUGAGAUCGCCGCCGGCGGAGAGCCAGACGAUGAAGGCGGCGGCGAGGGCCAGCAUCGCGGUCACCACCUUCUUCUACCUCGGGUGCGGGUGCUUCGGCUACGCGGCGUUCGGGGACGACACCCCGGGGAACCUCCUCACCGGCUUCGGGGAGCCCUACUGGCUGGUCGGCCUCGCCAACCUCUGCGUCGUCCUCCACCUCCUCGGCGGCUACCAGGUGUACGCGCAGCCCAUGUUCGCGCUCGUGGAGCGGCGGUUCGGCGCCGGCGUGGUCGACGCGGAGAUGCCGCUGCUCGGCCGCGUGAGCGUGUCCAGGCUGUGCUUCCGCACGGCGAACGUGGCGGCGGCGACGGCGGUGGCCGUGUGGUUCCCCUACUUCAACCAGGUGGUCGGGCUGAUCGGCGCCUUCACCUUCUGGCCGCUGGCCAUCCACUUCCCCGUCCAGAUGUACCUCGCGCAGGGCAAGGUGGCGCCGUGGACGGGGCGGUGGCUCGCCAUCCAGGCCUUCAGUGCCGGCUGCCUGGUCGCCUGCGGCUUCGCCUCGGUUGGCUCUGCCAUGGGGGUGUUCGGCCCCGAGAGAAGCUAGCUGCAACCAACUGAGCCAAAAUUAAUAGUCUCUAUUCUCUAGUACUUAGCUAGGAUAUGUAUAAAUGGGAAAGAUAUACUCUAAUUCAAAGGGGAACACGCCAGAGAUAUUUUAAGCACCAAUGUGACAUUAGCAAACACAAGAGUUUUAGCUUCAUCUCUGCACGAUACAUGUGUCCUUUUAAUGUGACAAUACAACAUGCCGAAUCACAUGGACAAAUUACAAGACAUUGUACAGCCUUCAUUUUUACACAUUUCGGCCAUGAGAAAAAGCUAAGCUUCGGUAACUAGAUAGGUUUCGAAGCCAUCCAGCAUAAAUUACAAAACAUUUAUGCUUUCUGAGUUAACUUUGACAGGGAUACAGCGAGGCUUAUUUAAUCUAGACGAGCCCAUUCCAGUUCUAACUCCAUCUCACCUGAUUCUACGUUCUGCAGCUUUAGGUAAACUUCCUGUUUUACCUUUCCCGACGAAAUAUUGACAAUGCUGUCGCUCAACAGGCAAUUGUCUCUGGUCAUGAACCACCUUCCAAUUUGCAUGUCCGCGUGACGCGACGGGUCUCCAAAAGCCAUAGCAGCUGUGAUCAUUGGCUUCAGAUCUAUCUCUGCUUCCCCCAUGAUAUCGUCAGCAGAGAAAGUGUCGUGAUCAUACACUUCCUGGAAACAGUAAGAUUGUAUCAGGGAGUGAGGAAAAAAACAUUGUCUUGCCUGAUUUGUUACUGUUCGCAAGGACUACAUGAAUUUAUUGAAGAGUUUCUUUUCUCACAUAUGUGUGUGCUUCAAUGAUGAGCUAUCAUUUGAGACAUCAUGAAAUCUCUGUCGAGAACUACAAUUUGGUAACAUCAUAAGAUAUUCAAACAUGUGUACCCUACCAUACCAUACCAGCCCAUUGGACACAAAGUUUUCCAGUCAGACAAGUGGACUACAGUUAAAUGCAUCUGAAGUAAUAAGGAAGCAAAUAUAUGAAUCUUUGCGCUUCCACUGCACAGAAAUCUUGACAAAAAUGAUGAUGUUCAUAAGGUGCUCUUCAUCAUGGAAUCAUCCCUUCGUCUCGUAGUUGGUUCACUAACUAAGGCACAUGUCCAUAACUGAUAUUGAUGCAACAAAAACUUAUCGACAAGGUAUGUUGCAGUUGAAAUAUGGGAAUGUUAAUGUGAUCAAGCCAGCUAUUUAUUAAACUCUUUAUUUUGGCAUUAAUCAAGUAGUAAUAGUUAACUAGGUUUGCAAUAGUUAAAAUCUGCUUAUAUAUAAUUGACUGAAGUGCAUCAUAGGUCCUCAAACUAUUUCAGAAGUGUCAUGUAGGUCCUCGAACUAUGAAAAUCGCUAUCUAGGUCCUCAAAGUGCAAUAUGUGUGUCAUCCAGGUCCUCAAACUAUUUCAGAAGUGUCAUGUAGGUCCUCAAACUAUGAAAAUCGCCAUCUAGGUCCUCAAAGUGCAAUAUGUGUGUCAUCCAGGUCCUCAAACUAUUUCAGAAGUGUCAUGUAGGUCCUCAAACUAUGAAAAUGCCAUCUAGGUCCUCAAAGUGCAAUAUGUGUGUCAUCCAGGUCCUCAAACUAUUUCAAAAGUGUCACGUAGGUCCUUGAUCUAUUUUAGAGGUGUCAC
RNAcentral lists this long non-coding RNA (44390 nucleotides) under Triticum aestivum (bread wheat). RNAcentral's name for it is "long non-coding RNA (TAES_LNC012319)". The record is from RNAcentral. Lineage: Eukaryota; Viridiplantae; Streptophyta; Magnoliopsida; Poales; Poaceae.